This 45-nucleotide non-coding RNA is filed under the name Schistosoma margrebowiei. The record is from RNAcentral. Lineage: Eukaryota; Metazoa; Platyhelminthes; Trematoda; Strigeidida; Schistosomatidae.
GUCCAGAGGAUGAGUCACAAAUAGAACGAAACGCGAGUCCUGGAU